UUUGUGGAGGGUUCGAUUCUGGCUCAGGAUGAACGCUGGCGGCGUGCUUAACACAUGCAAGUCGAACGGGAUCCGGCCAAGCUUGCUUGGCUGGUGAGAGUGGCGAACGGGUGAGUAAUGCGUGACCAACCUGCCUCAUGCACCGGGAUAGCUCCUGGAAACGGGUGGUAAUACCGGAUGUUCCACAUGAUCGCAUGUGAUUGUGGGAAAGGCUUUUUGCGGCAUGGGAUGGGGUCGCGUCCUAUCAGCUUGUUGGUGGGGUGAUGGCCUACCAAGGCUUUGACGGGUAGCCGGCCUGAGA
Bifidobacterium cuniculi is the source of this 301-nucleotide ribosomal RNA. It matches the Rfam family "Bacterial small subunit ribosomal RNA", at positions 1 to 297 of the family's 1533-position model. The record is from Rfam. Lineage: Bacteria; Bacillati; Actinomycetota; Actinomycetes; Bifidobacteriales; Bifidobacteriaceae.